This 473-nucleotide long non-coding RNA is filed under the name Rosa chinensis. Its description in RNAcentral is "sRNA RchiOBHm_Chr4g0444431". Lineage: Eukaryota; Viridiplantae; Streptophyta; Magnoliopsida; Rosales; Rosaceae. The record is from RNAcentral.
UUGCGAAUAGAGAGUCGUCGAACACAGGUAUCGAUCUUGAUUGUGUGACUAUUUCAACUGCAUCCGUGAAGCUGCCAGAUACUAACGUUGGGCUGAUAACAAGUACAGAAGACCGCUUGGGUAGGAGAAAGAAGAGGAAAGAUUGAAGAUUUUGGUCGACUGUCAGAGGACGGUUUGGGUUGAGGAAGGUUUUGAUAGAAGAAUUAAUAGAGGAAGACAGAAGGCGAAACAAAGAAGAGAGAGAGAGAGAGGAGAACGGGAAAGAAGGAAAAGAAGAAGAAGUGAGACGCAGAAGUCAGAUUAGUUUUUUGUCAUUUGCAGUCUCUGUAAAGGUUCAGGGAGGAAAGGACAAAUCAAUUUACGUUUGUUUUGGAGAAGGUGUGAACUGUGUUGUUUUUCUAAUCGAGUUUAUGGCAUCUGCAACUAUGAUUUUGGGAACAGUGUGCUGUCGGAUAGUACGUCAACGAUCGUGA